Lophiostoma macrostomum CBS 122681 is the source of this 82-nucleotide non-coding RNA. The record is from the annotation of a GenBank genome assembly. NCBI's taxonomy places the organism in Eukaryota, Fungi, Ascomycota, Dothideomycetes, Pleosporales, Lophiostomataceae.
GGUGGUGUGGUCUAGUGGUAUGACGUCACGUUGUGGAAAACACAGUCCCGUGCCAGCCCCGGUUCGAUUCCGGGCACCGCCA